GGGAUAAGAAUUAAGACCAGUUCAGUUAUAAUUCAUUUUAUAAGCAAAUAAAAACUUAACUUGCCUUAACUUUGUUGCGCCCACCAGCUUGGCUACCAACUGGCAUCCUGUAGCCUCCGUGGGAAGAAUCAGGUUUGGCCUUUCCACCAACCCGUCUGUAACCAGCCAUCCGAGGAUUGGGACCCUUGAUGCUCUGGGGGGAUUGAAAGUCAGCAACUGGCGCCAUCGGCUGCUCACGACCGGGUCUCUCAUACUGAAUGUCUUCGUAGUAGUCCCUCCCCUGAUUAUAGCUGCUGCUGGUAUGACUGAAGGUGCCUGGAGGAUACUGGCCAGUCAGGAACAUGUAGUCGUAGUAAGGGGAAGGAAAGAAGUCAAAUCCUAAACCGAUGUUGGUGUUCGGCUGAAGUGGUCCUGCAAAACCUUGUCCAGCAGACGCUGGACCAAAGAAGGGUGGUGGAGGCAGACUGCCGCGUUGCUCAGUCUCCAUCUCGUUGUUGCCAUAGUCAAAGCUUCUAUCAAACUGGGAGAGCUCUCCCGCUUUGUACUGUGAUUCAGUUGGUGGACUCACUUCCUCAGGGAAACUGGAAGCAACGUCACGGAUACCAGACACUCCCACACCUCCAGAGUUAGGAUUGGGAGGAGCCAUGUGGAUUCCUGAGAACAGACGAUCUGCUUUUCAACCUGGUCCUGAAAGAAUCCACAUGGCUCCUCCCAAUCCUAACUCUGGAGGUGUGGGAGUGUCUGGUAUCCGUGACGUUGCUUCCAGUUUCCCUGAGGAAGUGAGUCCACCAACUGAAUCACCGUACAAAGCGGGAGAGCUCUCCCAGUUUGAUAGAAGCUUUGACUAUGGCAACAACGAGAUGGAGACUGAGCAACGCGGCAGUCGGCCUCCACCACCCUUCUUUGGUCCAGCGUCUGCUGGACAAGGUUUUGCAGGACCACUUCAGCCAAACACCAACAUUGGUUUAGGAUUUGACUUCUUUCCUUCCCCUUACUACGACUACAUGUUCCUGACUGGCCAGUAUCCUCCAGGCACCUUCAGUCAUACCAGCAGCAGCUAUAAUCAGGGGAGGGACUACUACGAAGACAUUCAGUAUGAGAGACCCGGUCGUGAGCAGCCGAUGGCGCCAGUCGCUGACUUUCAAUCCCCCCAGAGCAUCAAGGGUCCCAAUCCUCGGAUGGCUGGUUACAGGCAAGUUGGUGCAAAGGCCAAACCUGAUUCUUCCCACAGAGGCUUCAAGCCGGUUAGUGGCCAAGCUGGUGGCCGCAACCAAGUUAAGGUGGGGAUGCCUUCAGUGUACAAAGCCUUUUGAAUGCAAUAAAAGUUUUAAGAUGUCAACUUGACUGCUUUCCUUAUAUUUUUUUUUUGAUGUGCCAAAAUUAUGCAUGACAGGUUUAUUUGGAGAUGAAGAUUCAUACACCUGAACAUGGAUUAAUUUUAUAGAAUUUACUGGAAAAUGUUUACAGCUGUAGCAUUGGUAAUCUGUAUAAACUGCAUCCAGUUUGUGUUAUACAGCAUUUCUCAGUUGCUUUGGUACAUUUCUUGACUACUCUUUGACAUUUGCAAAAGGACGUGCAUUUUUCAAAAUUCGUACAAAUCUCAGAACACCACGAUUGCCUCCAAAAGCUCUUGCUCUCAGUUCAUCUCAAGUGAAAUCUGUCAGUGCCAUCCGAAUGAGUCAUUGUGUACGGAUCAAACUGUCAAAUUGCUUAGUUGUGUUGUCUGCCAAACCUUGUACUCUAGUGGUUUUGCUCUGGUGUAAAUGAUGGCAUUGUAAGUUACACCUUGGUGUCUGGGAGAUUGCAAGAGACUGGACAAGAUUCACUUUCCCACUUUUACGGUUUGUACUGUAAUGUGUUAACACUGUGUAGUCUUUUCCUUUCAGUAUUGUAAUGCCAAAAACCAGUGAACAUGGAACAAUCUCCUUCGGGAAGGCUGUAUAUCCUGUGUUGUAGGAAUUACAGUGCAGUCUUCCUACACCUUGUCGUGCCACAAAUUUUCAUCCACAUCACAACGAAUAUCUUUUGCGAUGCAGAUUGGAAAGAAUCUUUUAGACAGUCUCAUCCAGCCUCUGCUGUAAUGUCAUCACAGGGUCCAUCCAUGGUGGCCAGCAGGUCCAUCCAUGUGUCAUUUCUGGCGAUCACUUUCCAUCUCAAUGCUGAGAAAUUCCUCAACAGGGUUAAGUAAUGGGGAGUAGGAUGAGUAACUCCAUCAGCAUCCUGUUGUGGGUCGCUCACCGUUGCCGCGAUGGAAACCAACAUUGUCCCAAACUAUCACGUACUUUGGCAAGUCCUCUCCAAUCUGACCGCUCUUGUUCAGGCAUGAGAUCCCUUUGGAGUGUAAAAAGGUGACAAGACUAUUUGGCCCAAUGUGUGCAAAAGGUUGGCUGUUAUCUCAUCCGCAACACUCGUAUGUCCUUGGCCUCUUAACUCUGCCUCUUGUGUUUUGCCUCCCAACUCUUCCUCUUUGGCAGUUGACCACGUCCAAUUCCCGGUCCGUCCAUUGUCAGACAUUGUAACAUUGUGUUGUGCUUCAGCUAUGUAUACAGUAAACUUGCCCGUUGAUGGUUCAUGAGAUGCCCCUUCGUCAAGAUGUGAAGUCAAGAUUCACCUGGGAGCAAUUUACCAAUUUAGGACAGAUUUAGAAAAAACAUCUAAUGGAAAUGUAUAGAAAUCUGCUUGACAUGACAACUUGUUCAACCAUUUUGCAUGUAUAGACUUCUGUGAUGAACUAAUGCCUAAAUGUUGUGGGAGGUAAGACUUCAACAGGGACCCAUUAUAAUACAUUUUGAUCAACAUGACAUAAGCAAUUGAUAAUGUAGGAAACACAGAAUUGUACAUAAUCAUAACAUUCUGUAAGUACGGCUGUAGUAAAGUUUAAAACUAUUUCUCCCUGCUGUAGUGGUAGCACAUGAUUUUAUUUUAAUGGAAUAGUAUCAAAAGAUAUUAAUUGGCCAUGGUGCAUAACACUAAACUGCAUAACAAUAACUUUUGUACUGCUUGAAUAACUUUGUACUUUGAAGAAAAAAAACUUGAACAAUGGCUCUGCCACAAAAAAGACUGACAUUAGUCACACUGAAUAUU
Gasterosteus aculeatus aculeatus (three-spined stickleback) is the source of this 3084-nucleotide long non-coding RNA. NCBI's taxonomy places the organism in Eukaryota, Metazoa, Chordata, Actinopteri, Perciformes, Gasterosteidae. The record is from Ensembl.